RNAcentral lists this unclassified non-coding RNA (1101 nucleotides) under Hevea brasiliensis (rubber tree). The record is from RNAcentral. Lineage: Eukaryota; Viridiplantae; Streptophyta; Magnoliopsida; Malpighiales; Euphorbiaceae.
GGAGAAAGACAUGGAUGAUGUGGUGAUGAAAACAGCUAUUGGGGUUCUGGGAGAUCUAGCAGAUACUCUGGGCAGUAAUGCUGGUUCAUUGAUUCAACAAUCAUUAUCAAGCAAAGAGUUCUUGAAUGAAUGCUUGUCAUCAGAUGACCAUUUGAUUAAGGAAUCUGCUGAGUGGGCAAAGUUGGCCAUCACUCGUGCCAUUUCAGUUUGAGGUGGCCGCUUUGGUACAUACUUUUUUUUUUAGUAAGUCCAUGCAUGCAUAUGGUUGUGUCCAGUUGGGGUCUGAGAUUGCAUUCAAGAGUCUUGUCAUUGAUGUUAUCUGACAUUGGAGAAAUCUACUCUUGUUGUCGUUAACUCAUGCGCCAGCACCAUGGGUCGAGGUUUUGUUUUGGGGGGGGGGGGCUACUACUCAAAAGUUGAAAGUCCUUCCAUUCAGCAUGUGACUUUGCUGGUGAUGUGUAUUGGGGUCAAAAGGGUCUGCUGUAACUUACUAAAAGGAACUAAUCAGGCUGCUGGUUUGUUGGGUUUUCCGUUGGUCUACUAUCUACUAAGAAGAGGUGUCCCGUAUCAUCCCUGUGCUGCCGUCUUCUCCAAGGGCUUUGAGGGUCAGAAUGUAUAAGGUCAAAGUUUUGGUAGUGCUGAUACUUUAAGCCAAAGCUUCUUUGAUAUUGUCCCAUCUAUUUUUUUUCUUUGGGUCUGUCAGUCAGUCAUUGGUCAAAGCAGCUGCAUUUUCUUUAUUUCAAAUUGCAUACAUCUCAUUCAUUUCUUUUGCAUAUACUGGUCAUGGGGUAACCCACUUGUUUUAAAAUUUUAUAUAGGGCAUUGUGUUUUUGCAUCUUCACAUUUCUCUUUCUGGGUUGUUUUCCGGCAGUAGGUAUUUUUGCACAUCCGUAGCAGAUUGUGCCAUCCAUGAAAGCAUGUAAGCUACCUUUUUUCAUGCUGUUACGAUACAGUUUUUUCCCUCUCCUAAAAGAAAAGGAUCAUGCUUGUGAUCAUAAAUAUAUUUGGUUGCUUUUCGUCGGAAGGCAUGUCAUCAAAGCAAUGGGAAUUGAAGAUCUUCUCUUUAAUAGAUUCACAUGUUGCUGUAUCCAUUGAUUUUCC